AUGGAUCCAAGUGGCAUCGGUAAAACGAACUUAAAUCAAAAGGACAGUGAUUUGACGCGACAUACGGAUAUCUGCUGCUAUAAAUUUUUUGUGGAUAUAAACAAAGACAGCGAUUGCUGCAAGUGGAACUAAAUGAAAUUAAUUAGUGUGUUUGGGAUAAAAUUGUGGAAAUUUGUAUAAUAGGAUAGAACCUGCUAAUAGGCGACAAGACAUACUGCGUUUAUUUGAAUUUUUUUGUAUAUAUAUAUAUAUCGGCGAUGUUUUCUCUCUAUUUUGUGAUGUGAGCGAACAUUCUUUGGUUGGAAAUAUAUAUACCAUUUUAAUAUGAAUACUACGUAAAAAAUUAAAAUCCAAACAACAUAUAAAGAUCGUCUUGAUACUAACUGAAAUAAAUAUUAAAGUGUGUUCUAUAUAUUCUUCGACAAUUUGAAAAUCGUAAGUAAAUUGCA
Long non-coding RNA from Ceratitis capitata (Mediterranean fruit fly), 449 nucleotides. RefSeq lists it as uncharacterized. The transcript has 2 exons. The record is from RefSeq and is a predicted model, not a curated record. NCBI's taxonomy places the organism in Eukaryota, Metazoa, Arthropoda, Insecta, Diptera, Tephritidae.